Long non-coding RNA from Bos taurus (domestic cattle), 735 nucleotides. The record is from Ensembl. NCBI's taxonomy places the organism in Eukaryota, Metazoa, Chordata, Mammalia, Artiodactyla, Bovidae.
GACUGCAUUAUGGCUGCGUCUGCUGGGUCAACUGUGAGAGAACACGGCAUGUCUGCUGCUACAGCUGCUGUGCUAGUCAGGAGAAAAUAAACACAUUUGCCGUUCCUACAGCUCCUUGAGUUUUCUUCCAGCUUCUUCGCUCUCGCCUUGACUACCGUGGGUUCAGCAAACAGUGAGAUACAGCAAGACAAGCGUCCAGCAAUAGAUGUAUUGAGGGACGGCCGAUAGAAGGAGAUACAAAUAGGAACCUUCCCAGGCCCUGGUCCAAGGUUCUGAAAAACCUCAAGCUGCUUCUAUGUUGGAAGAAUGUGGAAUAACCCUGAUUUAAGAGUGGAGAGCUGGCCGGUGAACUGGCUUUUGCUGGACUGUGUGACUCGAACCUGCAGGCUUCUGUGAGCAGCAGUGCUGGAAUUGAUCAGACCAGGAAGGGCACGGAUCCUGAAGAUGGUACCGCUGGAGGCUCUUGGCUAAAGGUGCUCCUUGUGGCUGAAUGGCAAGUUCUUUUACAAGGGAGGUCCAAAUGGAGCACUCCCUCAGCUGCCACACUUAAUCAAAUGCAGUGUUGCUGUUGUCUCAGCCACCUCCCCAACACCAGGAAAGAAGAGCUUCCUGCACAGAGUAGAGAAAUGAGAGGCGGAGGGACCUCCCUGGUGGUCCACUGGUUAAGAAUCUGCCUUCCAAUGCAAAGGAUGUGGGUUCGACCCCUGGUUAGGGAAUUAAGACUGACUCUACAUG